UCUUUUUAAAAAAGAACUUUAGGUAGGGUUAACAUACACCCGUAUUUUCCCGGACACGUCAGGCUCUUUGGUUCUUAAAUCGCUGCCCGGGAGGAAUUUUUGAAUUUUAAAAAUUCCUCCCGGGAAAAUACGGACGUAUGAUACCCCUGUUGGUACAAAAGUACAUCCUGUGGCACAUCCCUUAAAUCAGAACUUUUUAUAGGGAACCGGUUGUUAUGAUUUUGGCAGCUCAUCACUGCACACAAGGGUUUUUAAAA
This is a long non-coding RNA of Chelonia mydas (Green sea turtle), 257 nucleotides long. RefSeq lists it as uncharacterized. The transcript is spliced from 3 exons. The record is from RefSeq and is a predicted model, not a curated record. Lineage: Eukaryota; Metazoa; Chordata; Testudines; Cheloniidae.